RNAcentral lists this ribosomal RNA (497 nucleotides) under uncultured bacterium. RNAcentral describes it as "partial 16S ribosomal RNA". It matches the Rfam family "Bacterial small subunit ribosomal RNA", at positions 28 to 507 of the family's 1533-position model. The record is from RNAcentral.
GACGAACGCUGGCGGCGUGCCUAAUACAUGCAAGUAGAACGCUGAAGAGAGGAGCUUGCUCUUCUUGGAUGAGUUGCGAACGGGUGAGUAACGCGUAGGUAACCUGCCUUGUAGCGGGGGAUAACUAUUGGAAACGAUAGCUAAUACCGCAUAACAAUGGAUGACACAUGUCAUUUAUUUGAAAGGGGCAAUUGCUCCACUACAAGAUGGACCUGCGUUGUAUUAGCUAGUAGGUGAGGUAAUGGCUCACCUAGGCGACGAUACAUAGCCGACCUGAGAGGGUGAUCGGCCACACUGGGACUGAGACACGGCCCAGACUCCUACGGGAGGCAGCAGUAGGGAAUCUUCGGCAAUGGGGGCAACCCUGACCGAGCAACGCCGCGUGAGUGAAGAAGGUUUUCGGAUCGUAAAGCUCUGUUGUAAGUCAAGAACGGGUGUGAGAGUGGAAAGUUCACACUGUGACGGUAGCUUACCUGAAAGGGACGGCUAACUACGUG